GACGAACGCUGGCGGCGUGCUUAACACAUGCAAGUCGAACGGAAAGGCCCUGCCUUUGUGGGGUGCUCGAGUGGCGAACGGGUGAGUAACACGUGAGUUACCUGUCCCUGACUUUGGGAUAACCUCAUGAAACUGGGGCUAAUACCGGCUAGGAGUUCCUGCCGCAUGGUGGGGGCUGGAAAGUUUCGGCGGUUGGGGUUGGACUGGCGGCGUAUCAGCUUGAUGGUUGGGUAGUGGAUUAGCAUGGCUUUGCCGCGUAGCAGGCCUGAGAGGGUCACCGGCCACGUCACGACGGAGCUGAGACACGGCCUACUCCGGGAGGCAGGGGUGCGGAAUAUAGCACAAUAGGCGGAAGCCUGGUGCAGCAACGCAGCGUGGGGGAUGACGGCCAUCGGGUUGUAAUCCGCAUUCGCCUGUGACGAGGCGUGAGUGACGGUAAUGGGUAAAGAAGCACCGGCUAACUACGUG
Molecule: ribosomal RNA, 468 nt
Filed under: uncultured bacterium
Lineage: Bacteria
Description: partial 16S ribosomal RNA
Rfam family: Bacterial small subunit ribosomal RNA
Source: RNAcentral